Syzygium oleosum is the source of this 343-nucleotide long non-coding RNA. RefSeq lists it as uncharacterized. The transcript has 2 exons. The record is from RefSeq and is a predicted model, not a curated record. NCBI's taxonomy places the organism in Eukaryota, Viridiplantae, Streptophyta, Magnoliopsida, Myrtales, Myrtaceae.
GAACUCGGUGAGGCUGAGACGCCAUGAGGAGGGAGCGGAGGAGGAGUGGCGGCGGCGGGGGUCGUCCAUGGAGGAAGAAGGAACGUCGUCGGGGACAGGAGAGAGGAGCUCGCGUCGGGAUUCGCCAAUGGGGACGCCCAGUCGGUUUCCAGAAACCAGCACGGCACUACCAGUCCGCGGAACUCACUCGUUCGUUUGGAUGAUGUGAGGCCCAAACUCUCAUCUUUCUCUUUCCGUCCUUCCUUCUUAUAUAUCUUUAGGAUAACUGCACUUUGUGAUGGCCAAAAGAAGCAAACCAUAUAAUAUAAUUAUAAAUAUAAUAAUAAUAUAUUGUUAAUCUCUC